GCGGUAAAAAUAUAAAUACGAUACUCUGGAUAACCUCUCGGGUGAAGUGCUCACCGAUAUCCGUGCGCUUGCGGAUCAUUUCCUGAUGGCGUUACCAAAUAUCAACAAGCAUUUCUGGCGCCAUUGCCGGGGAGAAAGACGGUUUGCUAAGAUAACUUUAAGUUUGCUAUUCUCUUGUAUUAUACUUUUAUACUUUUAUUCUUUUAUCUUUUUAUUUUUUCCAUCUUUAUGGAUAACUCAAAUUCCACACCUAUUAUUGAAUUUUUUGCACCUUCGAAGACCAGCCAUAGACCAUGGGAGUCAACAAGUCCUUUCUUUGCCCCUAAUUAUGAUCUGUGUCCGGAGUUGAUUGCAAUAGGUUAAAACUAACCCUUUUCUAUAGCCGAGGUCCUAUCUUUUAAUCAAGAAGAUAAUGAACUUUUAGUUACACCUAGGGAAUCUUUUAAUCUUUCUAUAAAUUCUGGUUUAUACCUAGCCCUACAAGACCAUGUUUUUCCUCGAUAUUGUCACAUUGGUCUUAGUCAUAUAACCUUUUGUAGACGUUCUCUUUCUUUAUCUGUUAGUAAAGAAAGGUAUGUCUUCAUUCGUGGACAUCCUUCUUGCACUAAUCUUCAUAAAAAAAUCCUAG
Molecule: long non-coding RNA, 628 nt
Filed under: Sorghum bicolor (sorghum)
Lineage: Eukaryota; Viridiplantae; Streptophyta; Magnoliopsida; Poales; Poaceae
Description: long non-coding RNA (SBIC_LNC008475)
Source: RNAcentral